GAUGAAGAACGCAGCGAAAUGCGAUAAGUAAUGUGAAUUGCAGAAUUCAGUGAAUCAUCGAAUCUUUGAACGCACAUUGCGCCCGUCAGUAUUCUGGCGGGCAUGCCUGUUCGAGCGUCAUUACGCCCCUCAAGUCCCCUGUGGACUUGGUGUUGGGGAUCGGCGAGGCUGGUUUUCCAGCACAGCCGUCCCUUAAAUUAAUUGGCGGUCUCGCCGUGGCCCUCCUCUGCGCAGUAGUAAAACACUCGCAACAGGAGCCCGGCGCGGUCCAAUGCCGUAAAACCCCCCAACUUUUUAUAGUUGACCUCGAAUCAGGUAGGACUACCCGCUGAACUUAAGCAUAUCAAUAAGCGGAGGA
RNAcentral lists this unclassified non-coding RNA (358 nucleotides) under soil metagenome. RNAcentral describes it as "partial contains 5.8S ribosomal RNA, internal transcribed spacer 2, and large subunit ribosomal RNA". The stretch from base 1 to 120 matches the Rfam family "5.8S ribosomal RNA", at positions 35 to 154 of the family's 154-position model. The record is from RNAcentral.